Molecule: unclassified non-coding RNA, 337 nt
Filed under: soil metagenome
Description: partial contains 5.8S ribosomal RNA, internal transcribed spacer 2, and large subunit ribosomal RNA
Rfam family: 5.8S ribosomal RNA (bases 1-120)
Source: RNAcentral
GAUGAAGAACGUAGCUAAAUGCGAUAAGUAAUGUGAAUUGCAGAAUUCAGUGAAUCAUCGAAUCUUUGAACGCACAUUGCGCCCGCCAGUAUUCUGGCGGGCAUGCCUGUUCGAGCGUCAUUUCAACCAUCAAGCCCCCGGGCUUGUGUUGGGGACCUGCGGCUGCCGCAGGCCCUGAAAAGCAGUGGCGGGCUCGCUGUCACACCGAGCGUAGUAGAUUUUAUCUCGCUCUGGGCGUGCUGCGGGUUCCGGCCGUUAAACCACCCUUUUAACCCAAGGUUGACCUCGGAUCAGGUAGGAAGACCCGCUGAACUUAAGCAUAUCAAUAAGCGGAGGA